Long non-coding RNA from Varroa destructor (honeybee mite), 1423 nucleotides. The record is from RefSeq and is a predicted model, not a curated record. NCBI's taxonomy places the organism in Eukaryota, Metazoa, Arthropoda, Arachnida, Mesostigmata, Varroidae.
UUGUAGCAGCCGGUAGAUCUAAGCAAAGCGCAAUCAGGCUAACGGGGUCGUCACUGACAUAACAUCGACACAGUAUGCGGUCGUCCUCAUUCCGGCUGUUCAGCCCUCGGCAAAGAACGUUACACCAACUUAGCAUACUCGGUUUAUAGGCCUGUAGACAAGCAGCAUUCGUCCGUGUGGCAUGCUGACCGGCCACCAAAAUGUACGGCAGAGUGGGCUAUCCAUGGCAGUUUUGCUUCUAACUGGGCGCUCUUUUGAACGGUGCGCGGGUUCUAGCCCAACGGGUCCCACAGACAACGAAUGAGCUAGCCCAUAGGAGGGUUUACUAGCACCCACGGUGAACUUGGAAGACGGUCGCACGUCUCCGAAACGCCGUUGCGACUUAAUAAGAGAAUUUCGACAACUUCAAAAUCGUUGAGCUAUUAACUCGAUUACUGCAAGCGACUCGCCCUAUUUAUAUCAAAUUCACUGAAAUCUGUAGUUCUAAUAUGACAUUUAGUAGUAAAUGAAAGGAUGAUUCGGAUUUCGGCAGUUAAAUACAUUUCAUAUUUUUACGUGGUGCUUAUCUUAGAACGGUUGGCUGUUUUUGUGAAGCUUUUCAACAGUAUGAAAAAUGGUUUAUCAGUAUGUACCCGUGACAGCUUAAUCAACGACGUAUUUGCACGCUUAUGGACUCGUUGUGUUCGAUCCCCGGUGUAGACACAUUGUGCCUCGUGGCGGGACCCACUUGUCUGACGGAGUGCUCGGCGGCGAUAUCUAACCACACGUUCUGGAUUUCGGAACGACCACGAUCAAUACUGAUUGCAACCCGAAGACCUGUUAAGGACAAAGUGGUAGAACCGAAACCUGCUAUUUUACAGAGUACCUCAAAGGCAAUACUAUUUCAAACGUCCGAUCCUAGCGCCUGUGCAUGCUCGCGUGACGCCAACACCGACUCAGAGACAGCUUGUCAUGUUGUACCCGUUAAAACGUUAGGUUGCAGUAGGCAGAUGCACGGGUAUCUGACGCGGUCGAUACUCCUAUCCUUGCGGUAUUCACUGGCGAACGUCGCCUAGCCUACAUAAACCAGAUUGAUGUUGACUUAUCUAAAGUAUCGUUUCAGACGGCUGGCCAUCAGCACGAAGCAACGCUACGUAUCUGUGAUUAGUUUCGAACCUGGGCUACAUCACAAGCCUGUAUAUUUAGUAGGCGAGAGCUAGAGUCGAGAGUAGUGCAUUACUUCAAUAAAAGAUGCCGUUUUUAAAUCAGCCGUGCACCGCGGGGAGCUCCGAGAGAUGACGCUCAUGAACAAAUGCCAUGCCAGUACCGCCUGCACCGCUGUUCAGAUACUGAUUGUAUCAAAAGAAGCGUUAUUCAAAUGCAGUUAUGGAUAUACGCAGAGAAUUUAGCACCUUGUAUGAACACCAUACAGCGCAAUCAACGU